This is an RNA transcript of Saccostrea echinata, 2876 nucleotides long. RefSeq lists it as uncharacterized. Lineage: Eukaryota; Metazoa; Mollusca; Bivalvia; Ostreida; Ostreidae. The record is from RefSeq and is a predicted model, not a curated record. The transcript has 6 exons.
UUGUGUUGUUUCUAAUAAAUUUUAUUUGUUUAUUUCGUUUUCAUCGCUAAAUCAGCUCUAUAAACGUAUUUUCUAUGAAAUUACCGAAUGUCGUUUGGAGCUGAUCUACGUCGGCUCGGCGCUUUCACCCUCUCGAUACGAUUGUCAACCCCGUGGCUGGCAGGUGCGUGGGAAAAGUUUGUCUGUUCCAGUGUCUUGAUGGAAUUUACAACAAAAUUGUUGCCUGGCUUGAUGGCAGAUGCCGAGAAUUUGCUGGACAGAGUGUUAUUAAUCCUCCGAUACUUUAAAAACUCUUUGAAAGUUGGAUCAUCGCAUGGCAGAAGUGCUGUAACCAUGGAGACAGUUGAUUCUGUAUCUAACAGGAAUAUUGUGUACUCCAGCUGUUGUCCUUAUCUUACCUGCUGUGGAAUUUUUGACUUUUUCCAGACCACAUGUGUUUCUUACAGCGAGAAAUCCAGCUUGAUGACUCUCUACAAAAAAGACUGGCAGAUUUUGAGCAGAGCUGGUAAUUUUUAAACGAAGCCAGUCCUGUAGCUAGCUGCUAUUUUCAUUUUGUGUCUAUAUCAGGAGUUGGAGCUGAUUCCUGUUUUUCUGAUACACACCCCUUGAUCCGUGCUUCCCCCGUGCCAUGUGGAGCAUCUUGAAGGCACACUUAAGAAAUCAUCCAAAAAAAAUCAAUGAGUAUAUGUUUGAUAUAAAAGAAAAACAGAAGUGUUCAGUAGAUGUAUGGGAUAUUUUAGGGGGAAAUAAAUUGCAAAAUAUUUUACAAGUACAGUGUGAUCUCACAAUUUCAAAUCAACUUUUGGUAAGAAAAUGGGAAGACCUUAUCUUUAACAUCAGUUGUUGUUUUAAAGACUUUCAGAAAGGUUUAUUUUUUUGGUUGGUUUUUAUUCAUUUCAUAUUAACUUUGUAGAACUACCUGAAUUCUGAGUGUCACUUGUGCUUUGAACUACAUUUGGAUAUGAAAUCAGCUCCUGCUGCAGUGAUCCUGCAUCAAUGGAUGGACCACCUUCAUCAAAAUACCUGUUUCCUGAUCUGCUUCUGCAUGGAGAGCUCCAGCCGAAUUGCCCAAGGACACUGCUUCUUUUCUUCUGUCUGGUGCACACUCUUGGAUUGCUCUUGUGGGGGAAACUCCAGUGGAAUGACCCAAAGCCAUUUCUCCAUUGCUUCUGCCUGAUGCCCACUCCUGGUUUUGUGAUUUUUCUGAGACAGUUGAUGCGAUUCGAAUGAAUGCUGAAAAAAGAUUGAAAUAUUUAAUGAAGUCAAGUUACUUCCAGGCAAAGGAUAUUCACAGUAUACAUGUAUUCAAGUAAAGUCAUAAAGGGGUAAAAAUUAACAGUAAUUAAGCAAUAACAUUUCAGUGAAAAUUGCCUAAGUUUUACUGUAAAAUAUGUAGUAAUGCAGAAUUUAUCUUUUUUUUUUUUUUUAAUUUUAUGUUAAUUGAUUUUUUCUUGUAUUGAAAAAAUUUAAGUAUAUGUACCUUCAUUCUUAUAAGUCCUACAUAGUUGUCCCUCCUCAUGUAUUUUGAUUUUGUUCAGUGGUAAGCUGAGUUUUGAUGCUUCACAAUCCUGAACACACUUCUUCCAAUCUUCUGCCAGGAGUCUUUGCUGGUCCUUGUCUGACAAAGACCGAAAGUGGCGUAAGGGAGGGUAUGUAUGAAAAUCUGGCUCUUCAGGCCCAUCAUGGAACAUAACUGCACCCUCAUGUAAGGACCACCACAUGUUCUCUCCACCAUACAUAAAAUCCGAGAUUCUCUGGUAGUGGACUUGAAAGAGGGUUGGUCUCUUCAUUAUGAAAUCAAGAUCAAAUUUUGUAUUUUCUGACUUAGGCAAGAGUUUUGCCUGGUGACUGACAAUGGAUUCUUGAUGUUUAAGGUAGUCUUUCUUGGUCUCGUCCAUCUGUUGAGCAUUGUACCGUAAAACUGCGUUGUCAAUAACCUUUCCACAUUGUCUGUUAGCUGUAUUUAAUGAGAUACUCCUUAAGUCGCCAAAUGAUCUUUCCUCUUGCUCAGGGACUAAGGAUCUAAGGCAGAACAAUCUAUAUGUUUCAGGACAAUGGACUGUUAAACUGUGAAAGUGGCUGCCAAAGAACUUUCUGGUGGUCAUCUUCUUUGGUAUUCCAAUGACAGUUUUUGAAAGGAUGGAGAAUUUAAAGCAAAGGUUGUAUAAUCGCAGUACUUUCUUUGUUGUUCUCUGCUGGUAUUCACUGUAACAUAUAGAAAUGAUUUCCACUAAAGUCAUACAGAGUUCAGAAAUUUCUUUGCUGAUUUUUUUCUCUAAAAAUUUUAGAUGGGUAAACAUGGCUAGCUUGACUGCAAACAGACGGGCAUCGGAUCCCUUGAGCUGAUUUUUGUCCCCAAUGGUUGAAGUAGCAAAUUUUUCAAAUUCUUUUUGUGUUGUUAAAUUACCAAUAUGGCAGGGUAGUUCCAAUAUCAAAUUUUGUACAAUGUUGGUGAUGUCGUGAAGAGGCUCGCAGGGUGGUAUCUCAUAUAGGUGGAGCAAAUCAGAAAUAUUGUUGUCGGUUGUCAGUAGUGCUGGUGGUCUCUGGAUACCUCUAAGAAUUGUUGUAAGUUCUUCCUGCAUCUCACUUUUGCUUUUAUUAUGGAUGUCAUGGCCUCUUGCUUUUAAUUCUACUUCAAGGUCUGACUUUUUGAGAUUAGAAAAAGGGGAUGGGUUUAUGACUGAAAAUCUUCUCCAUAGUUCUCCUUCUUUGAAUAUCUGCACCCGAUCAUCUAAGGAAGGAUUCCCAAUACUGUAAACAUAUUCUAAAUUUUGAUGUUCUUUUGACCUUACUCCACACAGGCAGCUGUAAUUCCCACCCCUUUGAUGCCCUGCUUCAAAUUGUCUAGCAGGGCCAUCCCCACUAAAAACUCUUGG